RNAcentral lists this ribosomal RNA (274 nucleotides) under uncultured bacterium. RNAcentral's name for it is "partial 16S ribosomal RNA". It matches the Rfam family "Bacterial small subunit ribosomal RNA", at positions 523 to 796 of the family's 1533-position model. The record is from RNAcentral.
AUACGGAGGGCGCAAGCGUUGUUCGGAAUCAUUGGGCGUAAAGCGCGUGUAGGCGGCUUGACAAGUCGGGCGUGAAAUCCCGGGGCCCAACCCCGGAACUGCACUCGAAACUGUCUCGCUAGAGUUCCGGAGAGGAAGGCGGAAUUCCGGGUGUAGAGGUGAAAUUCGUAGAUAUCCGGAGGAACACCAGUGGCGAAGGCGGCCUUCUGGACGGUGACUGACGCUGAGACGCGAAAGCGUGGGGAGCAAACAGGAUUAGAUACCCCGGUAGUCC